GAGGAAAGGCACAUAAUCAAAUCCCUAGAUUGUGUGUUCUGUGCUGAUAAUGAGUCAAAUCGCCAUUUAUUCUUUGAUUGUGUAGUUGCCAGGAAUGUAUGGUACUUUGUUAGCCAUCAUUUCCAAAUCGAGAUAGGCGCAAACUUUGAGUUUGUUGCUCGAUUUUGGGUUUCUAACAAAAAUAACUUGGCUUUGAACAUUAUUAGCUCUGCUAUCCUAUGGUGUUUCGGGAAAUAUAGAAACCCUAUGAUUUUUAACAACACCAGUUGGACCUCUAUUAUUCAGGUGUGGAGCAUGAUCAUCGGAAUGCUCAAAAUCUGGGUGAUUUUGACCCCAGAGGCCGGCAAACCCAAGAUGGAGGCGUUCAUGAGUGCCCUGACAAAACUUCUCCAACAACCCUUGAGGAUCUUGAGUGGUUGA
RNAcentral lists this ribosomal RNA (420 nucleotides) under Triticum aestivum (bread wheat). RNAcentral's name for it is "partial small subunit ribosomal RNA". Lineage: Eukaryota; Viridiplantae; Streptophyta; Magnoliopsida; Poales; Poaceae. The record is from RNAcentral.